This 253-nucleotide ribosomal RNA is filed under the name uncultured bacterium. Its description in RNAcentral is "partial 16S ribosomal RNA". It matches the Rfam family "Bacterial small subunit ribosomal RNA", at positions 524 to 776 of the family's 1533-position model. The record is from RNAcentral.
UACGUAGGGUGCAAGCGUUGUCCGGAAUUAUUGGGCGUAAAGAGCUCGUAGGCGGUCUGUUGCGUCGGCUGUGAAAACCCGGGGCUCAACUCCGGGCCUGCAGCCGAUACGGGCAGACUAGAGUUCGGCAGGGGAGACUGGAAUUCCUGGUGUAGCGGUGAAAUGCGCAGAUAUCAGGAGGAACCCCGGUGGCGAAGGCGGGUCUCUGGGCCGAUACUGACGCUGAGGAGCGAAAGCGUGGGGAGCGAACAGG